This 78-nucleotide transfer RNA is filed under the name Terriglobia bacterium. RNAcentral describes it as "tRNA-Val". It matches the Rfam family "tRNA". From Rfam's summary of the family: Transfer RNA (tRNA) molecules are approximately 80 nucleotides in length. The record is from RNAcentral. Lineage: Bacteria; Pseudomonadati; Acidobacteriota; Terriglobia.
AGGCCCGUAGCUCAGACUGGUUAGAGCGCUACCUUGACACGGUAGAGGUCUGGGGUUCGAGUCCCCACGGGCCUACCA